UACCCCGGAAGCUCUAAGAGUGUGGUAUUGAAGGUACUAAGGUGGUGGGGUAG
RNAcentral lists this transfer RNA (53 nucleotides) under Pomphorhynchus laevis. RNAcentral's name for it is "tRNA-Phe". RNAcentral also lists the same sequence under 1 other name. The record is from RNAcentral. Lineage: Eukaryota; Metazoa; Acanthocephala; Palaeacanthocephala; Echinorhynchida; Pomphorhynchidae.